RNAcentral lists this ribosomal RNA (253 nucleotides) under uncultured bacterium. RNAcentral's name for it is "partial 16S ribosomal RNA". It matches the Rfam family "Bacterial small subunit ribosomal RNA", at positions 524 to 776 of the family's 1533-position model. The record is from RNAcentral.
UACGGGGGGGGCAAGCGUUGUUCGGAAUUACUGGGCGUAAAGGGCUCGUAGGCGGCCAACUAAGUCAGACGUGAAAUCCCUCGGCUUAACCGGGGAACUGCGUCUGAUACUGGAUGGCUAGAGGUUGGGAGAGGGAUGCGGAAUUCCGGGUGUAGCGGUGAAAUGCGUAGAUAUCUGGAGGAACACCGGUGGCGAAGGCGGCAUCCUGGACCAAUUCUGGCGCUGAGGAGCGAAAGCCAGGGGAGCAAACGGG